RNAcentral lists this ribosomal RNA (387 nucleotides) under uncultured bacterium. RNAcentral describes it as "bacterial SSU rRNA". It matches the Rfam family "Bacterial small subunit ribosomal RNA", at positions 30 to 414 of the family's 1533-position model. The record is from RNAcentral.
AUUGAACGCUGGCGGCAUGCCUUACACAUGCAAGUCGAACGGCAGCACGGGAGCAAUCCUGGUGGCGAGUGGCGAACGGGUGAGUAAUAUAUCGGAACGUGCCCAGUCGUGGGGAUAACGUAGCGAAAGCUACGCUAAUACCGCAUACGAUCUAUGGAUGAAAGCGGGGGAUCGCAAGACCUCGCGCGAUUGGAGCGGCCGAUAUCAGAUUAGGUAGUUGGUGAGGUAAAGGCUCACCAAGCCGACGAUCUGUAGCUGGUCUGAGAGGACGACCAGCCACACUGGGACUGAGACACGGCCCAGACUCCUACGGGAGGCAGCAGUGGGGGAAUUUUUAGGACGAAUGGGCGCAAGCCUGAUCCAGCAAUGCCGCGUGCAGGAUGAAGG